UGGGUGAGUGGUGAGAGGUGGGGACUCAGGCAGCAGGGACAACAUUCAGAAACCUGGGAUUCCCCCUCCCCAUCUUC
Molecule: non-coding RNA, 77 nt
Organism: Callorhinus ursinus (northern fur seal)
Lineage: Eukaryota; Metazoa; Chordata; Mammalia; Carnivora; Otariidae
Source: RefSeq, a predicted model, not a curated record